UACUACAGGGGCUCAUUAUCUUAAAAAGCA
RNAcentral lists this non-coding RNA (30 nucleotides) under Mus musculus (house mouse). Lineage: Eukaryota; Metazoa; Chordata; Mammalia; Rodentia; Muridae. The record is from RNAcentral.